RNAcentral lists this long non-coding RNA (587 nucleotides) under Pongo abelii (Sumatran orangutan). Its description in RNAcentral is "lincRNA". Lineage: Eukaryota; Metazoa; Chordata; Mammalia; Primates; Hominidae. The record is from RNAcentral.
CCUGGGACAUAUUUGUACCCCAUCUCUAUUUAAUGCCUUUAUACAAUUCUUUACUUAAUUCUACCAGCCUUUAUUGAGCCUGCUUUCUUUGUCUAGCUGAGUGCCACAUGCUGACAUCACUAAGAUCAAUACGGCAAACUCUGAAAGAUGGACAGAGAGACAGGAGAUGGUCCUUUAUAAUGCAGUGUGAUCUGUGCUGCAAUAGAGAUGGAAGAGUGUUCUGAUCGGCUGGAAAACAACGCACAUGGGAAGCUGUACGGAAAUGAGUGGGGAAAGUUUUGGAGGCUAGAAGUUCAAAACGAGGUGUUGGCAGCACCAUGCUCUCUCUGAAGAUGCUAGGAAGAAUCUGUUCCGUGCCUUUCCAUUCGCUUCUGGGGUUUCCUGCAAGCCCUGACAUUCCUCGGCUUGUAGAUGCAUCACCCCAGUUUCUGCCCCCAUCAUCACAUGGCCCCCUCUCUGGGUGUACGUCUGCGUUCCCUCUCCUCUCCUUCUAAGGACACCGACACCAAUCAUAGUAGAUUAAGGGUCCACUCCUAACCAAUUACAUCUGCAACAACGCUAUUUCCAAAUAAAGUCACAUUCUAAGA